RNAcentral lists this long non-coding RNA (288 nucleotides) under Solanum tuberosum (potato). RNAcentral's name for it is "long non-coding RNA (STUB_LNC006319)". Lineage: Eukaryota; Viridiplantae; Streptophyta; Magnoliopsida; Solanales; Solanaceae. The record is from RNAcentral.
GUGUCCAUUUUUUAUUUGAUAUUUUAUCCCAUAUAGUUUUUUCUUUAUCAUAUUGUUCAUAAUUUGUAUUAUAAUAUUUUAAAUUUUUUGGGUUUUUUAUUCCUGAUGUACUAGGUUUUUCAUCCAUGUCUACGUCUCCUGUAUUUAUUUCUAAAUUCUUUGUAUUAUCUAUGUUUGCUAAAAGUUCCGUAUAUGUUUCGCUUGUUUCUGAAUGUUGUCCAUCUAGAUCAUCGUCGUUUAUUUCAUCAAUUCUUAUUUCGGGUAGAUUAUCUUGGCUAUUUUCUNNNN